RNAcentral lists this ribosomal RNA (312 nucleotides) under Triticum aestivum (bread wheat). Its description in RNAcentral is "partial small subunit ribosomal RNA". Lineage: Eukaryota; Viridiplantae; Streptophyta; Magnoliopsida; Poales; Poaceae. The record is from RNAcentral.
AUGACCACCUACCAGAUCGCCCGUGCUCAACAGCAGGCGGGGGUGCUCCACCUCCAGAUGCACGCACACCCUGCAGGCAACAUGGCUCAUCCUGCAAACCAGGCUCCGCUCCAGGCGAAUCAGGGUCAGAAUCAGCAACCUGCGGCGCCGGAGGCAGUUCUGCUGAACCAGAUCUUCAGACCUGUCGCUGCUUCUGCUUCCGGUUCUCACGCGCUGGGGGCAGAAGCUUUCAUCCUUGCCGCUAGCAACAUCAUGCUCACGCUGCUUGUUCUGCUGUUCGUUGUGGCCAUCUAUUUUGGCGGCGGCAACUAG